This 195-nucleotide unclassified non-coding RNA is filed under the name soil metagenome. RNAcentral's name for it is "partial internal transcribed spacer 1". The record is from RNAcentral.
CAGAGUUACAGACUCCCAUCAAACCAUCUGCGAAUCAUUACCCUUAACUGUUGCCUUCGGCGGCUAGGCGUCCCGGAAAGGCCCUCGGUCCUCCCGGAUCCUCGGUCUCCCGCUCGCGGUGAGGGCUGCCCGCCGGAGUGCCUAACCAAACUCUUGAUAUUUAAGGUCUCUCUGAGUGAAAAGCUUAAAUAAUCA